Xenopus laevis (African clawed frog) is the source of this 838-nucleotide long non-coding RNA. RefSeq lists it as uncharacterized. The transcript has 4 exons. The record is from RefSeq and is a predicted model, not a curated record. NCBI's taxonomy places the organism in Eukaryota, Metazoa, Chordata, Amphibia, Anura, Pipidae.
CAUGGCUGUCCUUUAGUGCCUGAGAGAAAUGGUAGUGGUUCGUAUGCUCUGCCAGGCGCAGCAAGAAUUAGCAGGCUGUACACAGAAAGGCCGGGACGCACUUAAAAGUGUGUUUCACCUUCAGGCGAAAAAAUCGUAUUAUUGCCACUGUGAAGAACAAAUUGCUUACAAGGUCAUCCCGCACAGCUUCCAGUUCAAGUUUGAGGUUCUGAAGGAAAAGCCGAAAAAUCAGAUGUGCAGCAGAAUAUAGAAAGCAGAAUAUUUAUUUCAGUACUUUCACUUUGUAAGAGCAUCCUGUAGAGUCUGCACAAGUUCCUUCAUUUGCCGGUCUUCCUCCUCUUUGCGCUUAAGGACAGCUUGUACCUACCAAGAAAAAAAAGUGAAUAAUGACUAAAGUGGAAGAGAUUUUAAUGUAAACGUGUACCACAAUCUGGGAUUAUUUCUCAAUAUAUAGUCUAAUUAAUUUCAGACCUUCAGGCUUCAAGACCUUUACCUAUACCAUGACACCCUUCCAUAAAUUACACAAUUCAAAGGCAACCAGCCCUCUGCAUCCAAUCUACUGGAUUACCACUUUCUAGUACCCUUACUCCUAAAUAGUUUCACAAAUAGCAAGAUGUAAAGGUAGGGACAGAUCUGUUUUUCUCUGCUGUUGUAGACUGCAUAGAUUUGGUUAAACUUAAGAGCUCCCAGUAGGCAUUUUGGAGUAGCACAACUUUUACAUUGGUCUUUUAUAUAUUUUUUAUAAUUUUAUAAUUGUUUGACUUCUUCUUCUGGCUCUUUCCAGCAUUUAAAUGGGGGUCACUGACCCCCAUCUAAAAAAAUAAAUGCUUUGAAAAGC